Long non-coding RNA from Bos taurus (domestic cattle), 3505 nucleotides. Lineage: Eukaryota; Metazoa; Chordata; Mammalia; Artiodactyla; Bovidae. The record is from Ensembl.
CUUUCACUUGUAAACAAAUGCUCAGGGCUUCCCCAGUGGCUCGGAUGGCAAUGAAUCUGCCUGCAAUGUGAGAGACCCAGAUUGGAUCCCUGGGUGGGGAAGAUCCCCUGGAGCAAGGAAUGGCAACCCACUCCAGUAUUCUUGCCUGGAGAAUUCCAUGGACAGAGAAGCCUGGCAGGUACAGUCCAUAGGAUUGCAAAGAGUCAGACAUGAGUGAUUGUCUAGUUUUACCAACAACAUUUAUUGAAGAGACUAUCCUUUUCCCAUGGAGUGUUCUUGGCAUCCUUUUCAAAUAUAAAAUUAUCAUAUAAAUGGGAGUUUCUAUGCUGGAGCAAACUGGAACAAACUGUGGAAAAUUCUUAAAGAGAUGGGAAUACCAGACCACUUUACCUGCCUCCUGAGAAAUCUGUAUGCAAGUCAAGAAGCAACAGUUAGAACCAAACAUGAAACAAUGGACUGGUUCCAAAUUGGGAAAGGAGUACAUAAAGGCUGUAUAUUGUCACCCUGCUUAUUUAACUUAUAUGCAGAGUACAUCAUGUGAAAUGCCAGGCUGGAUAAAGCUCAAGAUGGAAUCUAGAUUGCCAAGAGAAAUAUCAAUAACCUCAGAUAUGCAGAUGAUACCACCCUUAUGGCAGAAAGCAAAGAGGAACUAAAGAGACUCCUGACAAAGGUAAAAGAGUAGAAUGAAAAAGCUGGCUUAAAACUCAACGUUCAAAAAAUUAAGAUCAUGGUGUUUGGUCCCAUCAUUUCAUGGCAAAUAUGGGGAAACAGUGGAAACAGUGACAGACUUCAUUUUCUUGGGCUCUAAAAUCACUGCAGAUGGUGAUUGCGGCCAUGAAAUUAAAAGAUGCUUGCUCUUUGGAAGAAAAGCUAUGACAAACCUAGACAGCAUAUUAAAAAGCAGAGAUAUUACUUUACCAACAAAAGUCCAUCUAGUCAAAGCUAUGGUUUUUCCAGUAGUCAUGUAUAAACGUGAGAGUUGGACCAUAAAGAAAGCUGAGUGCCAAAGAAUUGAUGCUUUUGAACUGUGAUGUUGGAGAAGACUUUUGAGAGUCCCUUGGACUUCAAGGAGAUCAAACCAGUCAAUCCUAAAAGAAAUCAACCCUGAAUAUCCUUUGGAAGGACUGUUGCUGAAGCUGAAGCUCCAAUAAUUUGGCCACCUGAUGCAAAGAGCCAACUCAUUGGAAAAAACCCUAAUGCUGGAGAAGAUUGAAGGCAGGAGGAGAAGGGGACGGGAUGACGGAGGAUGAGAUGGUUAGCUAGCAUCACCAACUCAAUGGACAUGAAUCUGAGCAAACUCCAGGAGACAGACGAGGACAGAGGAGCCUGGCGUGCUGCAGUCCAUUGGGUUGCAUAGAGUUAGACAAGACUUAGCAACUGAACAACAACCACAGUGGAUAUAUGACAACUAGAUCCAAUGUGGAAUUCUGACUUGGAUAUUCUGUACAGAAGAAUGUUAUUGGGGCAAAACUUAAAUGGUGUCUGAGAAUUGGAGUAUCAUAGUAAAGCAAUAUUAGUUCCUCAUUUAAUGAUUACAUUAUAGUUAUAUAAGAGAACAUUCUUAUUUGUAGGAAAUACACAAUGAAACACCAUGGCACCAAUUUUCUCCCAAUUGGUACAGAGCAGGAAAAAAAAAAAUUCUUUAUAAUUGUUUCCGAGUCAGAAAAGCUUUUUAAAUUUAUCUUCCGUAAAUCUUAAUACAAAAAAUUCAAUUUCUUGUAACUAGAACAUUCUGAUUAAAUUGCCAAAAUAAUGUGUUUUUUUUUUUUUCCUCUCCAGGACACUCUGUAAUAAAUAUAUCCUGCCUCUAGCCACUUUUCUCAGUCUUUUCUGUUACUGCCUCAGUCUGAGCCAGGGGCCUCCUGCUGUUGAACCUAAGCCUACAUAUUUCCACCUCUGCACACUUGUGAUCUGUUCUUCACAUAGUGACUAGAGUGACCUUUCAAAAUUAGCCAGAUCUUACACCCCUCUGCUUUCACAAUUUAUCUGGCUUCCUGUGACUGUCAGAAUAAAACCUUAAGUGUCUACCACAGCCUUUCCAUCCCUCCCUGAGGCAUCAGGACAGUUUCCUGGCUCUCCUCCUUCUCUCAUUCACCGCUCUCAUUAUUCUUCUCUCAUUCACCACUGUUGCCUUAGAGUAUUUUGAGUUACUCUGCUUGGAAGCCUGAUUACUCCACUUCAAAAGGGUAUCUCUGAGUUUCUCAACCUGAAGAGGCUUUUUCUGUUCCAAUUCUUAGUUUCUAUCUUAUCAACUUAUCCAGAUUUUCUCCAGAUUUUCUCCAUUGAAUGUAAGAAUUGCUGGAAUCAACUUCUUUCCUUGUUUCCUGUUGACCAUCCAUAACUAGGCAGAGAUCUUGCUCCCCAACUCAGUGCUAUGUUUCAAGGCCUAGAACUAAACCUGGUCCUCAUUGUGAAUUAAUGAAUGAAUGAAUUACACAAUAUAGGCUCUGUGGGAAUAACUUUUGAAUCAUGAAAAUGUUUUUUCAGUUCAAAAAAUCAAAUCAAAGUAAAAAAGAAAAUGAACAGUUGACAAUUAUGAAAGUCAGAGCUUAUAAUUUAAAUAAUUUUUGAACAUGGUACUCUGGCCGUAUACUCUUAGUGAAAUUAGUUUUUACACCUUUUUAGUGAAAUGUAUUCUAAAAACAAGCAAAACUGUUAAACAGUACAUUUUUUGUUGGUAAACAUAUGAUGUGGUAACUGAAACUAUUUUGUGUGUAGUAUGUGUGUGCUCAGUUGUGUCUGACUCUUCGUGACCCCACAGACUAUAGCCUGCCAGGCUUCUCUGUCCAUGGGAUUUUUCAGGCAAGAAUACUGGAGUGGGUUGCCAUUUCCUCCUCCAGGGAACCUCGCUGACCCAGGGAUCAAACCCACAUUUUCUGCAUUGUCAGGUGGAUUCUUUACCUCAGACCCACUUGGGAAGUGUAAUAUAGAAGAAAGCAAUUAAUAAAUUGUUCACAACCAAGCUUCUCAUUGUGAGAAAAGUAAGUUACAAAUAUGGAUGGGGGAAGGAGAGGAAAAGCCAUAUAAAUUUAUAAUUUAAGAUAAUAUAAAUAAUACAUAUACACACAUAUUUGUAUUUAUAUUCAUAUAUGUUCUACUGCUGCUACUGCUGCUAAGCUGCUUCAGUUGUGUCCGACUCUGCGACCCCAUAAACGGCAGCCCACUAGGCUCCCCCGUCCCUGGGAUUCUCCAGGCAAGAACACUGGAGUGGGUUGCCAUUUCCUUCUCCAGUGCAUGAAAGUGAAAAGUGAAAGUGAAGUCGCUCUGUUGUGUCCUACUCUUCGGGACCCCAUGGACUGCAGCCCACCAGGCUCCUCUGUCCAUGGGAUUUCCCAGGCAAGAGUACUGGAGUGGGGUGCCAUUGCCUUCUCCAAUAUAUGUUCUAGGUCCUCUUAAAAGGUCUAAAGUCAAUGACAACCCUAAUUGUUGCACACUUAAAAAUAGUUACAAUAGUAAACUUUAUGUUAUGUGCUUUAAAAUAAAUAAACAAAUUUUUUAAAAGGAA